This is a non-coding RNA of Struthio camelus australis, 1638 nucleotides long. The record is from RefSeq and is a predicted model, not a curated record. NCBI's taxonomy places the organism in Eukaryota, Metazoa, Chordata, Aves, Struthioniformes, Struthionidae.
GUCUGCUGCAGGUUCUCAUUCCUAUCAAAUCCCAGAGGUUUCCUGUUUGUCAUGCUCAGGUGGAGAUCAUCACCACACAGUUUUGGCUCAAAGGGAGGAUGAGUACCCUCUGCAAUACACCUUCCCAGGUGCUGACUUUUCCCCUGCCAAGAUGUUGCCCUAUUUGGGAUCCCCCGGGACUGCAGCUGCACAAGACGGACUGCCGUGAUUAUUUCUGGGUGCGACGCAGAUUUCCUUGAGCAUCGGACAAGCUUUGUUCCCACCAACAUGUGGCUGCAGAAGCCCGUCGCUCUGGUAAGAGGCAAGAAUUAACUCAGGUAGCGCGGCCUGAGAACAAAAGCCUGAUGGAAAAGUGGAAGAAGCUGACGCUGGAGAUUUUCGUUUCCAUACUGUCCCUGGGAUAUUUGCUGAAAAAUCAAAAGAUGUGACUUUUCUGGAAAAGUUCAAACCCAGAAAGACUGAAAAAUAACGUUCCCUAAAUCCACCAUGCCGGUAGGGCCGAAUCCUCCCCUUCGGAAAGUUCACAUUUUGAGGAAGGUGUUCAACACGGAAAUCAGAUUUCAGCAAACCCUUGCCCUUUCCAACACUGAAAAUACCUCCCAUGUUCUGCACUUUUCAAAUAUUAAAAGAGUAACUUGAUGAAGGAGAUCUCUGUUUGCACAGUCAUACAAGGAUUAGGGAUUCACAUUUCAUAAAAUCUCUUUCAAGAUGGCUCGUACAGCCUGCAGGCAGCCUUGUCUCACCAUGCACUGGCAAUCUCACCCACAGGUGUAUUUUACUGUAUCCUUUGCACAUUAUUCUAGAUUGGCACCUCUGAAGUCAGCUGGAGUUUUAUAUUACAUGGAAAAGCAGUUUUAUAUACUCCCAACUGCAUAUUCAUUAAUACCUUAGAAAACUUUUCAAAUUCAAAAUUGUGACUUCUGUCAGUGGUAGCAUACAAGCUAUUCACUUUUGGGCAUCUGUUUGUUGGUAUGCGUAUGACUUUAAGCAACUGUACAGCUGCUUCUGGGAACCAGUGUGGUCAGAGGCACAGACAGCAAAUGGUGGAGUGGGGCAGGAGAAGACUAUUUGCAAAGUAACUCUGCUUGCGGAAAAGGAAAUGGUAGCAAUUGUUUAUCUGCCUGACUGCUGUGUGAAAAAAGUGCAAGCUGGGAGAUGGUGCUGCUCAGGACCUUCCACACAGUGCAGGAUGCCAGUAACUGUGAACCCGAGUGUUGGCUGCGGAUUUGCACAACGUCAGAGCUCUAGCUCUGGACUUGUGUUUUGAGGGCUACACGCAUGUACAACAAAGCUGCAGAUAGGCUCUAUGUAUACAACAUCCUAGCCAGGUCCCAGGCACUAGAGUUGUAAAUGACAUCACAUCAAGGCACAAGGGAAUAUUAAAGAAAGCAGUAUGCAGUUUGAGAAGUUUAUAUAUUCAAUGCAGUAUUUUGGUCAAAUAUCUUGCUGUGACUUAUGUCACAUUGGUAUAAAUAGAUUCCACUUUUCACAUGUAAUGACUUUUACUCAUGCAUGUUCUGAAGCUAAUAGUUCUAAAAUGAGAACAGCCAUUGCCAAUAAUUGAGUGUAGUCUGAAGGAAGACUGCAUAUUAUUCGUUAUUUGCAUAAAUUUUGCACAUGCAAAACUAGAACUCUGCA